UACAAGUUUUGAUACAGUAUGUACAAAUAAGUCCAAGCAGAUAGAACAGAAAAUGAAACAACUUUUUAAGACGCUCCAGGGGUAAACUCGUGAAAUCCUUCUCCUGCAUUUAGAAUCAAGAAUCCCAAUAGUCAAAACCGUCGGAGUGUAAGAGGAUGCCUGGUGUUCCCGGAAUGUUGAUUCAUCAUGGCAGUCCUUCAAUCGCAUGACUUACCCCUUCAAGAAACCAUCACUCUCUGAUCACAACUUGAACCAGACGAUUACAUCUGUUAGGUUUCCCCUCUCUGUUCUGAUGAAGAUGGUGGUGCCAGGAAGAGGAUUGCGGCUAUAUUACGAGUAUCAUCUCUUUCAUAAAACCUCAUCAGAACCCUAUUUUUCCUUUUCAUGAGGUUUAUACUCUGGUAAAGUAUUCACCACCUGAUUUACUUCAUUGUUAUGUUCUUCUGAAUGAUUCGAAUUCAAGAUACAUGUUAAUUUUUGUUUUAAUUAAGACUUGCGAGUGUAACCUAAUUUGAACGAUUUGUAAAUGUCUCGUAUAAAUGUCGCUUGAAGUUUUUGUUGAUAUUACAAUCGCCCGAUGACUCUAUUUUGGUGUUCUGAGAAGAUUUUUGUUCAUAUUGGUUAAUGUAAGUCUCCGGUGAACUAAUUGGCGUGUGGAUGGGUGGAUUAAAGGCUGGGAUAAUAUACGUCGAUGAACAACGAAUCUAAUUCGUUCAUGCCACUCACAACAUCUCUGCACAGAAGUAGCAAUAAUACUCGUCUGAAUAAGACCAAGCUACCCUGAAGUACAAAAAGGUUGAGCCGCUCCUGCCACUACCAUCAUAAAAUAACACCCUCAAAACACCGAAAUGACAUCGUUGUGGCUGGAACUCCUGUCAAGCAGAAUCGCAACAACUAUUGAUCAUGUCGGUGAAGACCUUCUUCAAAACAUAUUUGGCAGACUU
This is a long non-coding RNA of Helianthus annuus (common sunflower), 944 nucleotides long. RefSeq lists it as uncharacterized. NCBI's taxonomy places the organism in Eukaryota, Viridiplantae, Streptophyta, Magnoliopsida, Asterales, Asteraceae. The record is from RefSeq and is a predicted model, not a curated record. The transcript is spliced from 4 exons.